Ostrinia furnacalis (Asian corn borer) is the source of this 2350-nucleotide long non-coding RNA. RefSeq lists it as uncharacterized. The transcript is spliced from 2 exons. The record is from RefSeq and is a predicted model, not a curated record. NCBI's taxonomy places the organism in Eukaryota, Metazoa, Arthropoda, Insecta, Lepidoptera, Crambidae.
ACGCGGCCGAGCGCGAGGCGGCGCUGCGCCAGCGCAAGGAGCGCCUGCUGGCCGCCGCGCGCCACAGGUACCUGUCGGCGCGCGCGCCGCGGCCCAGCUGAGAGGCGCGCGGCGCCGCCGCCGCCACGCGGCAGCACUUCAAGCGCCUGCUGCUCACGCACACGCGCAACAACCGCUGAGCGGCGCCCCACCCCUCCCUCCCUCCACCCACCCCCGCUGACCCGCUGUAUCCUUUACACUUCGGUGUAGGAUCUGUGCACUCCAUUAUCCAUAAGGCGGGUUUUAGAAUCGCACUGACAGCUCGCUUUGAAGGGAACGUUCUUGAGUGACGCCGAUCGCUCGGCGCCGACGCUUCAUACAUUUCGGCUGUCAGCGCUGACGGUCAGCGUGCGUCAGCGUGACUCUAAAACCAGCCUAACAGGUUUGUUAUUUUCCACUUCUCGAAGACUCGUAUUUUGAAGCGGUGUUAGAUCCUAGAGUAUAGUGUGAUUCAUCUGAUUAUUAAAAUUUAACCAAUCGUUUAAAUCAUAUCGUUCCAGUGACAGAACCUCAGUUGAGUACCUAAUAUGGGUAGAGACACAAAAACUACAGUCUAAAAUCUCUCCUUGUGAAGGAAGUCCCUAUCCAUUUUCUUAGCCGAAGUGGCCGCUAAAAAUUCAGUAAAAAUAUGGAAAAACUACAAACACUUACAAAGUUAGCUAGCAUCCACUAAACGUACAAAACCCAGUGAUAACUUAAGGAACUAUGCCCGUCAGAAUUCAACUGUUUAAAUACGCUCUGUUAUCACUGGAGUUUUCUUAUCUAAAGAACAUACCUAAUUCGUGUGUAGUCACGAGAGGCGGCAGGCGGCGAUCUCAGAGAACCUUCGCAGUCACAGGCAGCGGGUGAUAACCGACUGUGCAGUCACCAACUUUCGUUAGUGACACCCCGUCCCAAAUUCAUGAUACAUAUACAGUAAAUACAUAUUUUCAUCAAACAUUUGGGAGAUUUCACUAGUCAAAGCUGGUGAUUGCAGAGCAAAACCUUUUAUUUAGUUUAUUGCCGGAGUGGCAAGGAACGAUGCGGAUUGCCAUUUUGAUACAAACGGGGCGUAACUGUACCUCUUCUUUUAAAUAAGUUUUCUGUUCAUGAAAAUAAUUCAAGCCCGAGGAAUCUUAAUUCCCAAAGGGCUCGAACUCGCGUUCGAAUAUGGACUCUUAAUCGUAUGGAACGAGCCAUGUAUCGCGCUUUACAUUGUAACUUUCACAUUUUGUGAUAUUUUAAUUAGAAAUUGAAGCGUAGUGUAUAGCGUAAUAUAUUUUUAGGAUUGCCUUUGGUUGAAAUAUCGACCGCUUUUUACUUAACAUACAGAUGCACUUUUUCAACAUAAUCUCCUAGAGUCUACGCUACAUUAUCUUCAGAUGUGUUUUUAAAUAUUAAGUAAAGUUUGCUGAAUCUCUAGGAAAUUAUAUUGUUAAAUUAUCUCAACGUAUCGAGCCUUACUAGCGGCGAACUAUUUAUUUUUCUAUAACCAUUGAGAGUGUAUUUUUCUAUCGAUAAAUUGUAAAUAAUAUAUGCGUUAGAGCGUCGUCCAUAGGCUACUCAUAUUGUUGAUGUUAUUGUUAGCUCAUGAAUAAAUGGCAUCGGUAGGUGUAUUAUUUCUAUCAGAGUUAUUUGUAAAACAUCAGCAAACUCGCACUAGAUUGCUAAGAUCAUGUAAAACAACAUUUGCUUUAUGACUUUUAAAAAUUUGUAUUUUUUUUUCAUAACUACAAACUGACGAAUUUUCAAGUCAGAACUAUUUUGUUGCCUAUGAUAUUAGCUAUCUAACCUGCGAGGUUACCGGUGUUUUACAAAUAACCCUGUAUAACAAAGCAUCAUCCAUCUAAUGCACCUAUCCUACCAUACCAUAAUACUUUUUUGAAAACAAUCUUACAACCAGCGACUUCACAUGGUGUGGAGAUUUAUAUUAUUUAUAUUGCUUAGAAAUUACGCACAGCUCGGUUGCAAGGGUGUUUUCUGUGAUAAAUUAUAAUGAGAUACUAGUGUGUUUUUAGAUGUUAUUAAGUGGUACCUCUGGUACCAGUACGGAAUGAGAGCAUAUUCCCCAUUUGGGCUCUCAGUACCAUCCUACAGACUAAAUUUCAUGUUGGCACCAACACGUACUGAUAUACAGGACGCUGGUAUCCUGCCGUAAAAAUAGUUUUAUGUUUAUUUAGUUUAUAAAACUCACACAUGUACUUAUUAUUUUAAAGUGAAGUUUACUGCUUCAUAGGCGCAUUUGCAAUUAAUUUAAAAAUAUAAGUGUAAAAAACAUAGUUGCGAAUGCAAUGCAUGAGAAAUUGCUUAAUUUCACACUAUUAUGUACAUU